AGAGUUGAUCCUGGCUCAGGAUGAACGCUAGCGACAGGCUUAACACAUGCAAGUCGAGGGGCAGCAUAAAAGUAGCAAUACUUGGUGGCGACCGGCGCACGGGUGAGUAACGCGUAUGCAACCUACCUAUCAGAGGGGAAUAACCCGGCAAAAGUCGGACUAAUACCGCAUAAAACAGGGGCACCGCAUGGUGAUAUUUGUUAAAGAAAUUCGCUGAUAGAUGGGCAUGCGUUCCAUUAGGUAGUUGGUGAGGUAACGGCUCACCAAGCCGACGAUGGAUAGGGGAACUGAGAGGUUGGUCCCCCACACUGGUACUGAGACACGGACCAGACUCCUACGGGAGGCAGCAGUGAGGAAUAUUGGUCAAUGGGCGGGAGCCUGAACCAGCCAAGUCGCGUGAAGGAAAGAAGGAUCUAUGGUUCGUAAACUUCUUUUGCAGGGGAAUAAAGUGCAGGACGUGUCCUGUUUUGUAUGUACCCUGAGAAUAAGGAUCGGCUAACUCCGUGCCAGCAGCAGC
This 517-nucleotide ribosomal RNA is filed under the name uncultured bacterium. RNAcentral describes it as "bacterial SSU rRNA". It matches the Rfam family "Bacterial small subunit ribosomal RNA", at positions 8 to 518 of the family's 1533-position model. The record is from RNAcentral.